GCCAGCGUAGCUCAACCGGCAGAGCGACGCAUUCGUAAUGCGUAGGUUGAGGGUUCAAGUCCCUCCGCUGGCUCCA
Molecule: transfer RNA, 76 nt
Filed under: Fervidobacterium sp.
Lineage: Bacteria; Thermotogati; Thermotogota; Thermotogae; Thermotogales; Fervidobacteriaceae
Also listed under: 1 other name
Description: tRNA-Thr
Rfam family: tRNA
About the family: Transfer RNA (tRNA) molecules are approximately 80 nucleotides in length. Their secondary structure includes four short double-helical elements and three loops (D, anti-codon, and T loops). Further hydrogen bonds mediate the characteristic L-shaped molecular structure. tRNAs have two regions of fundamental functional importance: the anti-codon, which is responsible for specific mRNA codon recognition, and the 3' end, to which the tRNAs corresponding amino acid is attached (by aminoacyl-tRNA synthetases). tRNAs cope with the degeneracy of the genetic code in two manners: having more than one tRNA (with a specific anti-codon) for a particular amino acid; and 'wobble' base-pairing, i.e. permitting non-standard base-pairing at the 3rd anti-codon position.
Source: RNAcentral